RNAcentral lists this ribosomal RNA (229 nucleotides) under uncultured bacterium. Its description in RNAcentral is "partial 16S ribosomal RNA". It matches the Rfam family "Bacterial small subunit ribosomal RNA", at positions 15 to 235 of the family's 1533-position model. The record is from RNAcentral.
GAUCAUGGCUCAGGAUGAACGCUAGCUACAGGCUUAACACAUGCAAGUCGAGGGGCAGCAUGGUCUUAGCUUGCUAAGACCGAUGGCGACCGGCGCACGGGUGAGUAACGCGUAUCCAACCUGCCCACCACUUGGGGAUAACCUUGCGAAAGUAAGACUAAUACCCAAUGAUAUCUCUAGAAGACAUCUGAAAGAGAUUAAAGAUUUAUCGGUGAUGGAUGGGGAUGCG